GUGCUCGCUUCGGCAGCACGUAUACUAAAAUUGUAACGAUGCAGAGAAGAUUAGCCCGGACCGGCCCCUGCACAAGGAUGACACGCAAAUCUGUGAAGCAUUCCAUAUUAAA
Molecule: small nuclear RNA, 112 nt
Organism: Mustela putorius furo (domestic ferret)
Lineage: Eukaryota; Metazoa; Chordata; Mammalia; Carnivora; Mustelidae
Source: Ensembl